UACGUAGGGUGCGAGCGUUAAUCGGAAUUACUGGGCGUAAAGCGUGCGCAGGCGGUCCGCAAAGUCUGAUGUGAAAGCCCCGGGCUCAACCUGGGAACUGCAUUGGAAACUAACGGGCUCGAGUGUGGCAGAGGGGGGUGGAAUUCCACGUGUAGCAGUGAAAUGCGUAGAGAUGUGGAGGAACACCGAUGGCGAAGGCAGCCCCCUGGGUCAACACUGACGCUCAUGCACGAAAGCGUGGGGGGCAAACAGG
Molecule: ribosomal RNA, 253 nt
Filed under: uncultured bacterium
Lineage: Bacteria
Description: partial 16S ribosomal RNA
Rfam family: Bacterial small subunit ribosomal RNA
Source: RNAcentral